AUUGAACGCUGGCGGCAGGCCUAACACAUGCAAGUCGAGCGGUAACAGGAAGCAGCUUGCUGCUUCGCUGACGAGUGGCGGACGGGUGAGUAAUGUCUGGGAAACUGCCUGAUGGAGGGGGAUAACUACUGGAAACGGUAGCUAAUACCGCAUAACGUCGCAAGACCAAAGAGGGGGACCUUAGGGCCUCUUGCCAUCGGAUGUGCCCAGAUGGGAUUAGCUAGUAGGUGGGGUAACGGCUCACCUAGGCGACGAUCCCUAGCUGGUCUGAGAGGAUGACCAGCCACACUGGAACUGAGACACGGUCCAGACUCCUACGGGAGGCAGCAGUGGGGAAUACUGCACAAUGGGCGCAAGCCUGAUGCAGCCAUGCCGCGUGUAUGAAGAAGGCCUUCGGGUUGUAAAGUACUUUCAGCGGGGAGGAAGGGAGUAAAGUUAAUACCUUUGCUCAUUGACGUUACCCGCAGAAGAAGCGCCGGCUAACUCCGUG
This 490-nucleotide ribosomal RNA is filed under the name uncultured bacterium. RNAcentral describes it as "partial 16S ribosomal RNA". It matches the Rfam family "Bacterial small subunit ribosomal RNA", at positions 30 to 507 of the family's 1533-position model. The record is from RNAcentral.